RNAcentral lists this ribosomal RNA (375 nucleotides) under Symbiodinium sp. CCMP2430. RNAcentral describes it as "partial Bacterial large subunit ribosomal RNA". It matches the Rfam family "Bacterial large subunit ribosomal RNA", at positions 1360 to 1841 of the family's 2925-position model. Lineage: Eukaryota; Dinophyceae; Suessiales; Symbiodiniaceae. The record is from RNAcentral.
UAAAGCUAAUCUGAGCAGGGUAAGCCGGCCCCUAAGCCGAGGCCGAAAGGCGUAGGCGAUGGGAACCACGUUAAUAUUCGUGGGCCAGAUGGAAGUGACGGAUUGUGAAGGUUGUUCCUCCUUAUCGGAUUGGAGGGGCCGCUGAUCAGUUCCUGGAAAUAGCUCCAUCAUCAGACCGUACCCUAAACCGACACAGGUGGACUGGUAGAGCAUACCAAGGCGCUUGAGAGAACGAUGUUGAAGGAACUCGGCAAAAUACCUCCGUAAGUUCGCGAGAAGGAGGCCCGGUUCCUAGGCAACUAGGGGCUGGGGGCACAAACCAGGGGGUGGCGACUGUUUAUUAAAAACACAGGGCUCUGCGAAGUCGCAAGACGA